GAUGAACGCUGGCGGCGUGCCUAAUACAUGCAAGUCGAGCGAACGGACGAGAAGCUUGCUUCUCUGAUGUUAGCGGCGGACGGGUGAGUCACACGUGGAUAACCUACCUAUCAGACUGGGAUAACUUCAGGAAACCGUAGCUAAUACCGGAUAAUAUUUUGAACCGCAUGGUUCAAAAGUGAAAGACGGUCUUGCUGUCACUUAUAGAUGGAUCCGCGCUGCAUUAGCUAGUUGGUAAGGUAACGGCUUACCAAGGCAACGAUGCAUAGCCGACCUGAGAGGGGGGUCGGCCACACUGGAACUGAGACACGGGCCAGACUCCUACGGGAGGCAGCAGUAGGGAAUCUUCCGCAAUGGGCGAAAGCCUGACGGAGCAACGCCGCGUGAGUGAUGAAGGUCUUCGGAUCGUAAAACUCUGUUAUUAGGGAAGAACAUAUGUGUAAGUAACUGUGCACAUCUUGACGGUACCUAAUCAGAAAGCCACGGCUAACUACGUG
Molecule: ribosomal RNA, 497 nt
Filed under: uncultured bacterium
Lineage: Bacteria
Description: partial 16S ribosomal RNA
Rfam family: Bacterial small subunit ribosomal RNA
Source: RNAcentral